UGGGGAAUUGUUCGCAAUGGGCGCAAGCCUGACGACGCAACGCCGCGUGGAGGAUGAAGACCUUCGGGUCGUAAACUCCUUUCGAUCGAGACGAAUACCCUCGGGAUGAAUACUCCCGAGGUUUGACGGUACCGAGAGAAGAAGCCCCGGCUAACUCCGUGCCAGCAGCCGCGGUAAUACGGGGGGGGCAAGCGUUGUUCGGAAUUACUGGGCGUAAAGGGCUCGUAGGCGGCCAACUAAGUCGGACGUGAAAUCCCUCGGCUUAACCGGGGAACUGCGUCCGAUACUGGAUGGCUGGAGUUUGGGAGAGGGAUGUGGAAUUCCAGGUGUAGCGGUGAAAUGCGUAGAUAUCUGGAGGAACACCGGUGGCGAAGGCGGCAUCCUGGACCAACACUGACGCUGAGGAGCGAAAGCCAGGGGAGCAAACGGGAUUAGAUACCCCCGUAGUCC
Molecule: ribosomal RNA, 450 nt
Filed under: uncultured bacterium
Lineage: Bacteria
Description: bacterial SSU rRNA
Rfam family: Bacterial small subunit ribosomal RNA
Source: RNAcentral